UACGAAGGGGGCUAGCGUUGCUCGGAAUGACUGGGCGUAAAGGGCGCGUAGGCGGUUCGUACAGUCAGACGUGAAAUUCCCGGGCUCAACCUGGGGGCUGCGUUUGAUACGUGCGGACUUGAGUUCGGAAGAGGGUCGUGGAAUUCCCAGUGUAGAGGUGAAAUUCGUAGAUAUUGGGAAGAACACCGGUGGCGAAGGCGGCGACCUGGUCCGAUACUGACGCUGAGGCGCGAAAGCGUGGGGAGCAAACAGG
This 253-nucleotide ribosomal RNA is filed under the name uncultured bacterium. RNAcentral's name for it is "partial 16S ribosomal RNA". It matches the Rfam family "Bacterial small subunit ribosomal RNA", at positions 524 to 776 of the family's 1533-position model. The record is from RNAcentral.